GGAGGGGUGCCCGAGUGGUUGAAGGGGACCGUCUCGAAAACGGUUUGGCGUGUUGAGCGUCACGUGGGUUCGAAUCCCACCCUCUCCG
RNAcentral lists this transfer RNA (88 nucleotides) under Chloroflexota bacterium. Its description in RNAcentral is "Chloroflexi bacterium tRNA-Ser". It matches the Rfam family "tRNA". From Rfam's summary of the family: Transfer RNA (tRNA) molecules are approximately 80 nucleotides in length. Their secondary structure includes four short double-helical elements and three loops (D, anti-codon, and T loops). Further hydrogen bonds mediate the characteristic L-shaped molecular structure. tRNAs have two regions of fundamental functional importance: the anti-codon, which is responsible for specific mRNA codon recognition, and the 3' end, to which the tRNAs corresponding amino acid is attached (by aminoacyl-tRNA synthetases). tRNAs cope with the degeneracy of the genetic code in two manners: having more than one tRNA (with a specific anti-codon) for a particular amino acid; and 'wobble' base-pairing, i.e. permitting non-standard base-pairing at the 3rd anti-codon position. Lineage: Bacteria; Bacillati; Chloroflexota. The record is from RNAcentral.